GACGAACGCUGGCGGCGUGCUUAACACAUGCAAGUCGAACGGUGAAGCGCCUUCCUUUCUGGUGGGUGUGGAUGAGCGGCGAACUGGUGAGUAAGACGUUAGUAACCCGCUCCCUCCGGCUUGACAACGGCAAGCAAGUGUUGCUAAUACGGGAUAUUCUGGGCCUGUCGCAUGAUGGGUCUGGGAAAGAUUUUGUUUCGGUGGGGGAUGGGCUCGCGGCCUAUCAGCUUGUUGGUGGGGUGAUGGCCUACCAAGGCGGUGACGGGUAGCCGGCCUGAGAGGGUGGCCGGUCACGCUGGGGCUGAGACACGGCCCAGACUCCGGCGGGAGGCAGCAGGGAGUAUUCGUGAACGAUGGGCGCAAGGCUGAUGCAGCGACGCCGCGUGAAGGAGGGAGGCCUGCGGGUAGUGAACGUCUUUCGGCAGUGAAGAAGGCCGGCCGCGUUUGUGGGUGGGUUGACGGUAGCUAGAUAAGAAGCGCCGGCUAACUACGUG
Molecule: ribosomal RNA, 494 nt
Filed under: uncultured bacterium
Lineage: Bacteria
Description: partial 16S ribosomal RNA
Rfam family: Bacterial small subunit ribosomal RNA
Source: RNAcentral